This 843-nucleotide ribosomal RNA is filed under the name Herbaspirillum sp. AKB-2008-PU4. RNAcentral's name for it is "bacterial SSU rRNA". It matches the Rfam family "Bacterial small subunit ribosomal RNA", at positions 20 to 857 of the family's 1533-position model. Lineage: Bacteria; Pseudomonadati; Pseudomonadota; Betaproteobacteria; Burkholderiales; Oxalobacteraceae. The record is from RNAcentral.
UGGCUCAGAUUGAACGCUGGCGGCAUGCCUUACACAUGCAAGUCGAACGGCAGCACGGGAGCUUGCUCCUGGUGGCGAGUGGCGAACGGGUGAGUAAUAUAUCGGAACGUGCCCUAGAGUGGGGGAUAACUAGUCGAAAGAUUAGCUAAUACCGCAUACGAUCUACGGAUGAAAGUGGGGGAUCGCAAGACCUCAUGCUCAUGGAGCGGCCGAUAUCUGAUUAGCUAGUUGGUGGGGUAAAAGCUCACCAAGGCGACGAUCAGUAGCUGGUCUGAGAGGACGACCAGCCACACUGGAACUGAGACACGGUCCAGACUCCUACGGGAGGCAGCAGUGGGGAAUUUUGGACAAUGGGCGCAAGCCUGAUCCAGCAAUGCCGCGUGAGUGAAGAAGGCCUUCGGGUUGUAAAGCUCUUUUGUCAGGGAAGAAACGGUCUUGGUUAAUACCUGGGGCUAAUGACGGUACCUGAAGAAUAAGCACCGGCUAACUACGUGCCAGCAGCCGCGGUAAUACGUAGGGUGCAAGCGUUAAUCGGAAUUACUGGGCGUAAAGCGUGCGCAGGCGGUUAUACAAGACAGAUGUGAAAUCCCCGGGCUCAACCUGGGAAUUGCAUUUGUGACUGUAUGGCUAGAGUGUGUCAGAGGGGGGUAGAAUUCCACGUGUAGCAGUGAAAUGCGUAGAUAUGUGGAGGAAUACCGAUGGCGAAGGCAGCCCCCUGGGAUAACACUGACGCUCAUGCACGAAAGCGUGGGGAGCAAACAGGAUUAGAUACCCUGGUAGUCCACGCCCUAAACGAUGUCUACUAGUUGUCGGGUCUUAAUUGACUUGGUAACGCAGCUAACG